UGCAUAUCAAAAAGCGGAGGAAAAGAAACUAACAAGGAUUCCCCUAGUAACUGCGAGUGAAGCGGGAAAAGCUCAAAUUUAAAAUCUGGUGGUCUUUGGCCAUCCGAAUUGUAAUCUAGAGAAGUGUUAUCCGCGCUGGACCGUGUACAAGUCUCCUGGAAUGGAGCGUCAUAGAGGGUGAGAAUCCCGUCUUUGACACGGACUACCAGGGCUUUGUGAUACACUCUCAACGAGUCGAGUUGUUUG
This 246-nucleotide ribosomal RNA is filed under the name Pleurotus incarnatus. RNAcentral describes it as "partial large subunit ribosomal RNA". It matches the Rfam family "Eukaryotic large subunit ribosomal RNA", at positions 37 to 276 of the family's 3401-position model. Lineage: Eukaryota; Fungi; Basidiomycota; Agaricomycetes; Agaricales; Pleurotaceae. The record is from RNAcentral.